This 492-nucleotide ribosomal RNA is filed under the name uncultured bacterium. Its description in RNAcentral is "partial 16S ribosomal RNA". It matches the Rfam family "Bacterial small subunit ribosomal RNA", at positions 29 to 507 of the family's 1533-position model. The record is from RNAcentral.
AGUGAACGCUGGCGGUAGGCCUAACACAUGCAAGUCGAACGGCAGCACAGUAAGAGCUUGCUCUUACGGGUGGCGAGUGGCGGACGGGUGAGGAAUACAUCGGAAUCUACUUUUUCGUGGGGGAUAACGUAGGGAAACUUACGCUAAUACCGCAUACGACCUACGGGUGAAAGCAGGGGAUCUUCGGACCUUGCGCGAUUGAAUGGGCCGAUGUCGGAUUAGCUAGUUGGCGGGGUAAAGGCCCACCAAGGCGACGAUCCGUAGCUGGUCUGAGAGGAUGAUCAGCCACACUGGAACUGAGACACGGUCCAGACUCCUACGGGAGGCAGCAAUGGGGAAUAUUGGACAAUGGGCGCAAGCCUGAUCCAGCCAUACCGCGUGGGUGAAGAAGGCCUUCGGGUUGUAAAGCCCUUUUGUUGGGAAAGAAAAGCAGCAGGUUAAUACCCCGCUGUUCUGACGGUACCCAAAGAAUAAGCACCGGCUAACUUCGUG